This is a long non-coding RNA of Hydra vulgaris (swiftwater hydra), 515 nucleotides long. RefSeq lists it as uncharacterized. The record is from RefSeq and is a predicted model, not a curated record. NCBI's taxonomy places the organism in Eukaryota, Metazoa, Cnidaria, Hydrozoa, Anthoathecata, Hydridae.
AAAAUCAUUACAUAUCGAAGCACAGAGCUGGGUUUGUUUGAUCGAGUAAAAAAUUUUGAGCAUAAAAAGAUUUUUUAAUGCGCAAUAGCACAUGCAAAACAAUAAAGUUACGAUUUAACAUUAAAGCUGUCCAAAUGAAAGGAGAUUAUGUUGAAGUGGCAGUCACGCCCUAGAUCUGGUUCAUUAAACGAUGUAGAGAAAAAAGUAACAUUGUCUAGCUAUCCAAGUCUCGAUAGACCCAUGUGUAGUUUACAGAAUAAUGAAGAAGUCAAAACAGUAAACAUUGAAAUAAAAGUUGAAGAUUGGGAUUUUAAUAAAUGUGAAAAAGAUAAUGAAAUAAUUGUUACAGAUAUGUCAAGAAAUUACUACGUUCGCAAAAGAUCAAAAUCGUUAAACUCUUCGCAAUGACGUACUUCACAGUGACAUGUAUGCAACGUAGCAUAAGUUUUUGGAAAUUUUUUUUUUAUGUGUAUCAAUAUUAUUUAGAAUGAGCAAAAAUAUUUAUAGAAAUUAAA